Cyprinus carpio carpio is the source of this 3447-nucleotide long non-coding RNA. Lineage: Eukaryota; Metazoa; Chordata; Actinopteri; Cypriniformes; Cyprinidae. The record is from Ensembl.
AUGGUCUCCUGGCUGGAACUCCCGUGGUUGGACCGCCCGAUUAUAGUGUCGCUGCUGGGCCUGUUGCGCCUUGACGAGGUGCUCCCGGACGAUGGGCAUCACUCGGUCGAUCUCGACGAGCCCGUUGGUCUGGGGGUGGUACACCGUAGUGCGGAGCUGCUGGACCUUCAGGAGUUUGCAGAGGUCCGCCAUCAUCCGGGACAUGAACGGGGUGCCCUGGUCAGUCAGUAUCUGGGAUGGGAUGCCGACCCGACUACACAGCAGGAAGAGCUCCUGGGCGAUGGCUUUGGUAGUGGCCUUGCGGAGGGGAAUGGCCUCAGGGUAGCGGGUGGCAUAAUCCACGAUGACCAGGAUGUGUUCAUGCCCCCGGGCGGACUUCGGCAGCAGCCCCACUAAGUCCAUUCCGAUCCGCUCGAAGGGCACCUCAAUGAUGGGCAGCGGUAUCAGCGGGCUGGGGGGAGGGGUCCGUGGUGAGGUCUGCGGGCAGGUUGGGCAGGCUUGGCAGAACCGCCGGACUUCGACCUCUAGGCCCGGCCAGUGGAACCGGUCACGGAGGCGCUGGACGGUGUUCUGUACUCCUAGGUGUCCUGCCAUGGGAUGUGCGUGGGCUAUCUCCAUCACCGUUCCGGUCUUGCUGCGCGGAACAACCAGGAGCGUCUUUUCCUCCCCCCUCCGCUGUGCGACACAGUACAGCAGGCCAUUUUUCACUAUAAAGUGAGGGGUGGGGUGAGGUGCCGGUUGGAUUUCUUUUCUGUCCACCACUCUCACUUGACCCCAGCAGUGUUUUAACCGGUCGUCCGCGUGCUGCUCUUUGGAGAACCCUCCAGCCCCCGUCACCUGUUGGUACAGGUCAUAAUAAAGGUUAGGAGUUGGAAGGGGUGACUCACCAUCUCUGGGGCUGUCUGAGGCCGGCAGCACGGGACGCCGUCGGGUCCUCUUGCUGGGCUUCCGGGAUGGGCGGUUCCUGGCCGGGCCGGCAGGCUGAGUGACGGAGGCGAGCAACUGGUCGAACCCUGGCCAGUCUCGCCCGAGGAGGACCGGUACCGGCAGAUCCUUGACCAGUCCGACAUCUAUGGGCCAGGCGCCGGGCGGCGCAGCGAUGGUAACCCAUCGUGCCGGCACGUCCCUGGUGUCGCCGUGCACACAGGUGAUGGAGAGCUUCGUUUUGGCUUCAGGCCGCGGGGGCAACACCGCCGUCUUCUCCCUGUGCACGGCGCAGCCUGCCAGCCAAGGUCGUGGCGGAGAACGGGGUGCCUCGGUGGGCAUGGGCUCAUCUCGAGGGCCGGGAACCGCCGGCCUGCUCACCGGUCGCUGGGUGCCCUCCGGCGUGCGCCGCUCCUGGACCACCCUUCGGGGAAACGGCGGCGCUCUCUCCCCAACCUCCCGGUGUUGGUUGUUCGCUAGGUUCCGCAUGCCGGCUGCCUGACGUAGCGGGCAAGGAAGGGCCCGCAGGAGGCGAUCCACGACGACAUGCUCCGCUACCUGGUGUGCGUUGGGACCCCCGGCCAGUAACCAGUGCUGCGCGAGACGGGAGAGAUUGGCCGCCUGAGCUCGGGCCGGCUGUCGUGGGUCGAAAACCCAUUCAUUAAAGAGCUGAGCGGCGCUGAUCGGUGAGAGUCCCAUCCGGCCCAGGAUUUCCUUUUUCAACUCCUCGUAAGACUCGUUGAGCUCUGGGGGAAGCGUGAAAUAAGCCCGCUGGGCCUCUCCCAUUUGCAGCGGGGUGAUGAUCCGGGCCCACUCCGCCUUGGGCCACGCCUCCUGAGUGGCCACGGUCUCAAACAUCUGAAAGUACGUGGUAACGUCAUCGUGGGAUGUUAUCCUUGGCAGCAGCUGGGUGGCCUGGACAUGGGGGUCAGGCAGCGGAGUGCGUGCGCCGGCAGCCAUGCUGAGCGCGGCGAGCUCCCGUUCAGUUUCCCCUUGCCGAGAGGCCAUAUGCUCCAAGAGUUCUUCCAUCGCCGGGGGAGGAGCGCCACCUAAAGAAACCAGAGAAGACACGUGAGCCAACAGGGCGUGUGGGAAAGGAAAAACAAAAAAAAACAAUCAAACCAGUCCGGCUGGGGAAACACCGCGUGGGUAGGUGUCGUCGGUGUCUUCUUCACUGUCCUGCCUGCAUUCUCCACCAGUGUGGCGGGGUGAAGAAGGACACGACGAGUAAGUACAGGUGAGUUCCCCGAAGGAUGGGUUUUAUUAAUAAAUAUGGUGGUAGAAGGCGGUGAGAUGAGGUGGUCCGGUGCGGGGUGCUCAGCUUCCUCUGUGCUCUUGUGUGCUGUGGCAGUGUGGGUCCGUUGUGCUCUCCCAUGUGCGGUGGGGCUGGCGGUCACACACUGCUCUCUGAAAGCAAGACAGACAGUUAGGAUUAGCUGGCUCUGCUGGAGACAUCGCUCACCUCUGUGUUCGUUUGCUAUGCUUAAGUAGGCAGUUCUCAAUGAUCCGCAGGUGUGGCCGCUCAGCCCGUGACGAGCAGGAGCAGGUGUGACUGCUCGGUUUCCAGGGUGACGCUGAUGAGAGCUCGGGACACGUGUCACAAUAUAUAUAUAUAUAUAUAUAUAUAUAUAUAUAUGUAUAUAUUAACCAAGAAUGAACCGAAAUGAAAACAUUUAGCUUUUAAUCCGUAUAUAUAUAUAUAUAUAUAUAUAUAUAUAUGUAUGUAUGUAUGUAUGUAAUGACUGUUUAAUAACAAUAGCAUGCAUAAGAGCCUUUGUUUAAAGGUCUUUCUUUAAUUUUUUGAUGAGUAGACUGUAGCCUGUGUUGUUUAACGUCUUCCUUUCAUUUUACAAUUACAUUCAGUUCGCAAUCCGUCCCUUUGCGCCACCUGGCGGUAGUUUCGCAAAUGAUUUUAACACGCGACUGACUUGCAGUUAACGCCGCAGCCCUGCGGCAGCGGUACGCGCGGCAGUAUUACCCAUUUUGGUUGUCUACCUACUGUACUUCUAACUUGUUUGAUUGGUAAAAUAAAUGUUGUAAAUUCAAAUCAGAGAGUCUUCUGUGUCUGGAAUGGAUGUAUUCUUGAGUCUAUAAGGUAACAAUAAUAUAAUAAAAUAACCUUGUUUGAAAUGGGUUUGGCUAAAAGAAAAUUUUGGUUUCGUCUAUACUACUAGGUACUUGUACUAUAUUGACUGGGUUAAAUAGAAUUGCAUUACUAAAAAGAAACUAAAAUACCAUUUUCAUUGACUAAAACUAGACUAAAUGUCAUCAGUUUUUGUUGACUAAAACUAGACUAGACUAAAAAAAGAGUGUGAAUGUGACUAAAACUAAUAAAAACUAAAAUGACAGCUUCACACAAAGAAUAGACUAAGACUCAAAUUAAAACAGGCCACCAAAAACAACACUAGCUGACCAUACAACCAAGUUUCAUCAUCAUAAGCCCUCAUAACUCUGCUCAUCUACAGAUAGGACUGGUUUUCUUUUUAUUUUUAACCGUUUAUGAUCUCAACCUGCAGUGGACUG